UACAGAGGUCUCAAGCGUUGUUCGGAUUCAUUGGGCGUAAAGGGUGCGUAGGCGGCGCGGUAAGUCGGGUGUGAAAUCUCGGAGCUUAACUCCGAAACUGCAUUCGAUACUGCCGUGCUUGAGGACUGGAGAGGAGACUGGAAUUUACGGUGUAGCGGUGAAAUGCGUAGAUAUCGUAAGGAAGACCAGUGGCUGAAGGCCGGGUCUCUGGACAGUUCCUGACGCUGAGGCACGAGGUCAGGGGAGCAAACGGG
Molecule: ribosomal RNA, 254 nt
Filed under: uncultured bacterium
Lineage: Bacteria
Description: partial 16S ribosomal RNA
Rfam family: Bacterial small subunit ribosomal RNA
Source: RNAcentral